RNAcentral lists this ribosomal RNA (521 nucleotides) under uncultured Glomeraceae. RNAcentral's name for it is "SSU rRNA". It matches the Rfam family "Eukaryotic small subunit ribosomal RNA", at positions 569 to 1092 of the family's 1831-position model. Lineage: Eukaryota; Fungi; Glomeromycota; Glomeromycetes; Glomerales; Glomeraceae. The record is from RNAcentral.
AGCAGCCGCGGUAAUUCCAGCUCCAAUAGCGUAUAUUAAAGUUGCUGCAGUUAAAAAGCUCGUAGUUGAAUUUCGGGACCAUCAUGUCGGUCGUGCCUCGGUACGUACUGGUAUUGUUGGUUUCUCCCUUCUGACGAACCAUGAUGUCAUUUAUUUGGUGUUGUGGGGAAUCAGGACUGAUACUUUGAAAAAAUUAGAGUGUUUAAAGCAGGCUCACGCUUGAAUACAUUAGCAUGGAAUAAUGAAAUAGGACGUUUGAUUCUAUUUUGUUGGUUUCUAGGAUCGACGUAAUGAUUAAUAGGGAUAGUUGGGGGCAUUAGUAUUCAAUUGUCAGAGGUGAAAUUCUUGGAUUUAUUGAAGACUAACUACUGCGAAAGCAUUUGCCAAGGAUGUUUUCAUUAAUCAAGAACGAAAGUUAGGGGAUCGAAGACGAUCAGAUACCGUCGUAGUCUUAACCAUAAACUAUGCCGACUAGGGAUCGGAUGAUGUUAAUUUUUUAAUGACUCAUUCGGCGCCUUACG